RNAcentral lists this ribosomal RNA (478 nucleotides) under uncultured bacterium. RNAcentral's name for it is "partial 16S ribosomal RNA". It matches the Rfam family "Bacterial small subunit ribosomal RNA", at positions 28 to 507 of the family's 1533-position model. The record is from RNAcentral.
GAUUAACGCUGGCGGCGUGCAUAACACAUGCAAGUCGAACGAUGAAACUCAUUAGAUUUCUUCGGAAUGAAAAUGAAUGGAGUAGGGGCGAACGGGGGAGUAACGCGUGAGUAACCUGCCUUACACAAGGGGAUAGCCUCCGGAAACGGAGAAUAAUACCCUAUGAAACCAGACAAUCGCAUGAUAAGCUGGUCAAAAUGUUUAGUGGUGUAAGAUGGACUUGCGUCUGAUUAGCUAGUUGGUGAGAUAAAAGCUCACCAAGGCAACGAUCAGUAGCCGGGUUGCGAGAGUGUACGGCCACAUUGGGACUGGGACACGGCCCAGACUCCUCCGAGAGGCAGCAGUGGGGAAUUUUGCACACUGGGGGAGACCCUGAUGCCGCGACGCCGCGUGAUUUAGAAGGCCUUCGGGUUGUAAAAGUCUUUUGUCUAGGAAGAAAAUGACAGUACUAUACGAAUAAGGUCCGGCUAAUUACGUG